Molecule: ribosomal RNA, 119 nt
Organism: Limanda limanda (common dab)
Lineage: Eukaryota; Metazoa; Chordata; Actinopteri; Pleuronectiformes; Pleuronectidae
Source: RefSeq, a predicted model, not a curated record
GCUUACGGCCAUACCACCCUGAGCAUGCCCGAUCUCGUCUGAACUCGGAAGCUAAGCAUGGUCGGGCUAGGUUAGUACUUGGAUGGGACACCGCCUGGGAAUACCAGGUGCUGUAAGCU